RNAcentral lists this ribosomal RNA (265 nucleotides) under uncultured archaeon. Its description in RNAcentral is "partial 16S ribosomal RNA". It matches the Rfam family "Archaeal small subunit ribosomal RNA", at positions 716 to 982 of the family's 1478-position model. The record is from RNAcentral.
AGACGUCUACAUUAGACUACCCCGUAGUCCCAGACCGUAAACUAUGCGCGUUAGGUGUAUCGGUGACCACGAGUCACCGAGGUGCCGAAGGGAAACCGUGAAACGUGCCGCCUGGGAAGUACGGUCGCAAGGCUGAAACUUAAAGGAAUUGGCGGGGAGCACCACAACGGGUGGAGCCUGCGGUUUAAUUGGACUCAACGCCGGGAAGCUCACCGGAUAAGACAGCGGAAUGAUUGCCGGGCUGAAGACUCUGCAUGACUAGCUG